This 75-nucleotide transfer RNA is filed under the name bacterium. RNAcentral's name for it is "tRNA-Glu". It matches the Rfam family "tRNA". From Rfam's summary of the family: Transfer RNA (tRNA) molecules are approximately 80 nucleotides in length. The record is from RNAcentral. RNAcentral also lists the same sequence under 1 other name.
GCCGCUAUCGUCUAACGGUUAGGACAUGGGGUUCUCAAUCCCGUAAUCGGAGUUCGAUUCUCCGUAGCGGUACCA